Molecule: ribosomal RNA, 263 nt
Filed under: uncultured bacterium
Lineage: Bacteria
Description: partial 16S ribosomal RNA
Rfam family: Bacterial small subunit ribosomal RNA
Source: RNAcentral
GUCCACGCCGUAAACGUUGGGCGCUAGGUGUGGGGCUCUUUCCACGAGUUCCGUGCCGCAGCUAACGCAUUAAGCGCCCCGCCUGGGGAGUACGGCCGCAAGGCUAAACUCAAAGGAAUUGACGGGGGCCCGCACAAGCGGCGGAGCAUGCGGAUUAAUUCGAUGCAACGCGAAGAACCUUACCAAGGCUUGACAUGGGGCGGAAAACUAGGCAGAGAUGUCAGGUCCGCAAGGGCGCCUCACAGGUGGUGCAUGGUUGUCGU